AUGAUUUCCCCGGAUGUGGCUCGCGACGUCGUCGGCAAUGUCAUCUCCUUCGGCCUCUUCCUCUCCCCUGUGCCGACGUUAUGGCGGAUCAUCAAGAACAAGGACGUGGAGGAGUUCAAGUCGGACCCGUACCUAGCGACGCUGCUCAACUGCAUGCUCUGGGUGUUCUACGGCAUCCUCUACGUCAUAUUCGGCUCGGCAAUGUACGCCUCCCUGCUCACCAUCAUGAUUAGCCAUAUUCAUCUUCUCCAGUCUCCAGAAAUAGUACAUGUGUCCCUGUACCAGUCUGUGCUUUUUGUGAUCUUCCCUUGCCAACUCUAUGAGAUGAUCACGUUGAAACGGAAAAGGGAUCCUAUAUGUCGGUUUCUUCUCGUGGGUCAUGUGGUCCAGGGUAAAGUGAUCAAGAACAAGAGUGUCGAGUACAUGCCCUUCUUCCUGUCGCUGGUGAGCUUCCUCAACGGCGUCUGCUGGACGUCCUACGCUCUCAUCAAAUUCGACCUCUACGUCACAAUCCCCAAUGGCCUCGGUGCGCUAUUCAGCCUCGUCCUGUACGCCUGCUACUACAGGCCGACCCCCAAGAAGGAGAAGAGCGUAAAGCUCAAAUGUGAUUGA
Molecule: ribosomal RNA, 612 nt
Filed under: Triticum aestivum (bread wheat)
Lineage: Eukaryota; Viridiplantae; Streptophyta; Magnoliopsida; Poales; Poaceae
Description: partial small subunit ribosomal RNA
Source: RNAcentral